GAACAGGAGCGAGGGUCAGUCGGCGUACCUCAGCUCUCAUUCUUUCCGAUAUUGAUUUCUGGCUUCACCCGCAGUGGGAAAGGGAGAGAUUGAGAGCGAGAGAGGGAGCGAUGGGCAAUUUGAUGAGUUCUUUCUUCAACAAGGAGCCUCCACCGCCCAUGGUGCUGGUUCCCCCCAUCUUCGACUUCCCUCCCCUCUCGGCGCGCACCAGGUUCUCUUCUUCUUCUUCUUUGGUUUCCCCCCCGGUUUUCAUGCUUUUCUUCUCUCCUUUUCUGAUUAUUCUCGAUUCAUUUACUGAACCAGAUGGCUUACUUUUGUUGCCGUCGCUCGUCUCUGCUGAGAGUUCCUGUUUUUCUGCACUAAUCUUAGAAAUCCAACCCACCCACACACACCAAACCCCCCGCGGGCCGUAUUUUUUUAUGGUUUUGGGUUUAUUUUGAUGGAAUUUAGUCUGGUUCUUUGUACUUAAUAAUGUACCUCAGAAUGCAUGACACCUAUUUGUUUUUUUGGUGCAUGACAUUGUUUUUCAGAUACUUAGUGUUCCGACGUCUCGCCAUGUUGAAUUGAUAUUCUUGGUUUGUAGCCGUUCUGGUUUGCCAAUAUUUGGAUUUGUUAAACUUUUUUGUAAGUUGGUGAUAUUAUUUGAUAAUUCUGGCAGGAGAUUAGUUACCCAUGGGUAAAGAUAGAGUUUGUAUGCAAAGGAACUUGAAAAUAGAUUAGUAAGAAGUUGCAGAUCAGUCGAAGUUUGAGAAGAUUUAUGCAAUUUUGAUGAUUUAGUAGGGAAUAUUAAUCGAUGCCUUUCAGUUAUUGAUGCUAAGUGGUUAAUAUGUUGAUAAUGAGCAUUGUUAUAGGUACAGUGGUGUGCAUAACCAUUUAUUGGCCAUGUGGUUUGGCUGCAUGGCUUUAAAAUACUUUAGAAUUAACGUUGGAAAUAAUUUUCUCUUAAAACUUGUUGCUUGAAAUCCAGUCCUUCAGAGACUUGAUAGAUAUUUAGCUAGCUGGGACUUCACUCAAUACUGUCCAUGAUAGUCCUGUCUAGUUUCCUAUUUUUACAUAAUAAUGCAGCCAAUUUUUUGCACUUCUUACUGAAAUGAUUUUAGCAGAGAGAGGAGUUUCUUCCUUCGGUCCACUCAACUGGAAUCUCUUACAUAUCCUUAAAGAUGUUGACAUCCAAAGUGUAGGCGGAUCUCACUUUAAUAUGUUAAUUAACUAGUAGAGCUUAACAACUUGAACUGUUGGGGGAGGGGCCAACAAUGUAUAUUAGACCUUAAUACUCCUGUCACGAAUGAAAGCGAACCUUGAUGCAACGGUAAGAUUGCUCUAUUGUGACUUGGGUGUCACGAGUUUGAAAUACAAAAACAGCUUCUCAAGACACGGGGUAAGGUAGUGUACAUCGGACACUCCCUAAACCCUACAGUGGUGGGAACUUCAUGCACAAGGGUGCUCUUUUUUAGCCGAUCCUGACUAAUUUCGGAUUAAGACUUAAUUGAGUUGAGUUGUAACACCCUUCAUCAUGUUCGGCCUGGAUUAUGCGUGUGAAGGAAUAAACAAGUCAAGAACAACUCAAGAUAACGAGUCAAGAAUGUCUCAAAUGCAACUGAGAACAAGUCAAGAAAAGAAAGGACUCAUGAUACCAAACAGGCGAUCUAGAGAAAAGUCUUCCUAAAUGGGGAAUUACCUUUGUGAUACUAUGUUAACUAAGUCCUAAAUCCCAAAAGCUUAAGCUAUUAGGAAAAGGUUAACAAUGUAUAUCAAGCCUUAACAUAAUCAUCCUCUAAUUAAAUCACAGAUGAAAGAAUCAUAUAUUUGUGAUUUUGCAAUAGUACAAUAGCGAUUACAAUUUGAAUUAUUUGUUCAAAACUGUGAUUUGAUCCUUCAAUGUCAUUAUCUUUAAAUCAAUUCAUGCUAUAUCAACUUGCUUCUAUCGCUAAGAUAUAAAGACCUUGGACAUAAAUAUACAAGCAACAAAUUAUUUUUCGUUUUGCAUAUUAUUGAUUCUAAGUAUCAACUCAGACUCUGUGAUUUGUACUACUAGCAAAAUACAUGAUAUCCAUACCUUUCAAUAUGGAAAACACCAAGUGUAUAUUCACUGUUUUUUGAGCUACAAACUAGAAUCUGUUAAAAAAUAUGGAAUAUCAUGUUCUAAUACUUUAGUCUUUGAUAUGAUUUUUUACAACUUAAAGUCAUAGGGUCAAAGCAUGCUUAUCUGUUACAGGAAAAAGAGGGAAACUAAAGGUAUAAGAAAUAUAUGAUGAUAUUGAACCUUUGCUGCCUCUACAUAUUGAGUUGUAUUUUUCUUUACCUUUUAACCAUUAUAGGACGAUCACAGGUUGCAUCAAGUGAUCACUAUUUAUUCCACUCUGGGUUAAUCUUGAAAUCUACUGAACUUCAUUUUUCUCUAUGGUGAUACAGGAUGUUAGUUCCAGCUUAUGACUUACUAUUUGGGAAGCUUGCAUUGUGUUCCCUUUUCGAGGACUACUUUGAGCAAGCAAGGAAUCUUAACACAAGAAUCAUGCUAAAACCAUUGGAGGAUCCUCAUGUGGAUUUAAUUGCAACUGUAUCCAACAAGCUUUAGAUGGCAUUUCAUGAUUGUUAUAUAAAUCAUUCCUUGAUUCCUUUUGAUUUUUUUCCCUCACUUAAAGAGUAGAUGUAUUGAGAAUCCUGAUUCCAAUUAGGAGUUUUUGGCAUAACAAAGGAGCACCUUCUGUUUUUGUUCAUUUUGACUUGCCUGUUAGAUCUGCUAGGAGCCUGGUUUUUCUGUUUGACGUUAUUAACUACACAACUAUGCCUUCAACAUUUUUAUACUCAUAUUCUGUACCUAUACUGUUUUCUAUUUUGAAAAGGCAACGUGACCGUCAAUUACAAGAAAUCAAAGCAAUGAAGUGUUUUUAGACUACAAAUAUGUUAUUCUUACAAUACAACUGUUCUUGACUUUGCUUUCUCUGAAAAAAGGAGAUGCACACAAAUUAGCUCCAACAUUAAGGAUUCUUUGCAUAAGCAGCAUCAACAGCAACAGCAACAACAAUAGUAACAAUAAAAUAGUAAUAGUACUAGUAGUAGUCUGACCUUUUCGACAUCCUCAUCUUUAAAACAAGUUGCACUUAUUUGUUUGUUCUUAUGGUUAUGGUCAUGUAAUAUAAAUCAAGUCAGUUUUCCCCUCGUCAUGACCUCAUCUUGAGCAAGUGCAUGCUUGUUUAUAUAGUGUGCAAGCUUGAAGUUCUUGAUUUUCCGGGCCAUCAAAUAUCUUCAUGGUUGUUCCUAGGGGUUGAAACUUAUACUUUUACCAGCCUUUUGUCAGAUGAACUAUAUGGACAUAUCUUGAGCCAACGCAUUUUUUCUGUUCACUUGUAGGAAAAACUGAUCCAUUCCUUUAUGGAUGCCUUCAUCCCCUACCUCCGCCUUUUCAGCAGCUUAUGAUAGGGGGACCUGUUUCCCUUCUUAAUUUAUUCAGUACUUCUGAACUUUUCUUAUUCUUUACUUUGAUCAUUUGCACACUUUCAUACUCUCUCUCUUCCACCAGGCCGCAUGAUCUCUUCAAUUCUGCCAUAUCAUUUUAGGUUGAAGACGAUCUUUGAGCCUGAUCUUAAUCCAUUUGUGUAACACCUUGUAUUAUUAUAAUUUAUACCACUAUCUCUACUUAUCUGCCAAAUAUGAUGCUUUAGUUUGCCAAGCUAAUGGAAUGAAGGCCAAGUGUGUGGUGCUAUCAGUUGUUUCAGUUGAUUGCUUUUUCUUUCUUUUCAUUGUACAUGCAGAGGUAUUGGUCACAGUUGUCCUGCAUUAUUCUGGCAAAUUUUAAAUAGAAUACAAGAUUUUUUGCUCUUUAGCAAAUGAAAUGUUGCUUGCCUUAAUAUUUUUAAGGUGUCAGGUUCCCUUGAUCAGAAAUCUGGGAAGGCUGUUGAAGGAAAUGCAAUAUUCCGCUGGCAAAAGUUGUGCUUGUUAUCAAUAAGUUUUCUGUUUAACAUUCUAAUACCAAUCAAGCAUUAUAUUUGCAUCAAUGAUCAACAAAUGAGGUUGCUAUUUUCAUUUUGGCUUUCUCUUUUAUAGGGACUUGGAUGAUCCUCAUACAUUUAUGGACCUUAUGGUAUCUACUUCUGAUCCGUAAGAAUCUAAUCAUUGGAAGAGACAUCUACUUUCCUCAAAUAGAUGUUAGUUUUCACCUUAAAUUGUUAGAUGUGCUAAUCUUUCAUUUUCAAUUGUAUUAUGUCUUGUUUGUCAGCAUACUGCGUUUGAGGUCAUGUGCUUACUACCCUAGAUAUCAAUUUGGAGCUUUUGGUAUAUUUCCUUUGAUAAUAACAAAAAGGUUUGUUCUUUAAUUUGUCAUAUUGAAUCUCCUGGUCAUGUUAUUUAUCAAAUUGUUAGAUAUUAACUUUUAUCAUUAAUAUUCAUUGGAGAAAUAAUGGUUUUUUUACUAUCUUUUCUCUCACAUAAUUUGAAAUUUUUUUCAUAUUUUUCAUAUUGUCUCAUAUUAUAAAGUUCUCUUUGAGAAAGAGAAAGGAAAGACCUAAAAUAAAUUAUGUGAAAGUUGUUAAAAUCAUACAUCAUUGAUUUAUUGUAAAGUGCAAUCUAGUGAUUCAUUUCCAAUUACAAUGCUACUUUGGGAAUGUAUCAGUUUCUUUUGAUCUUCUAUACUCUUUCUUAAUCAUUUGUUAUUACUAUUAUUAUUAUUAUUAUUUAUUGUUUCUAAUUAUGUUACUAUUUCUAUUACUAUCAAGAUUCAAAAAUUGGUAACGUGACCCGUAUUGGUCGUUAUGGUAUGGUUUGGCACCAAUGAGCACAAAAGAGAGAAGAAGAAGGUGGAGAGUGAAGGGGAAGAAGGUCCUACUAGAGAAAGGGAGGCAGAUUGGGAUCGGAUAUCAUUGAUUGGGGUUAGAGCUCAUCGAUCAGGACCGCAGAUCAUUGAUUGGAGGCCGAAGCUCGUCGAUCGGGCUUGACGUCAUUGAUCGGGUGCUGGUGGUCGUUAAUCGAGGGCCAAAGGUCAUCAAUCAGGGUCCGAAGAUCAUCGAUCAAGGCUGGAGCCAUCGGCAAGGUCCCCUGUAGCAUCGUUGCCAGAAGAAAGGAGGAGAUUAGGGGGAUGGUGAGGUAGAGGGAUUGAGGGAGAGAGAGAGGGCAAGAGAUCUCAAGGGUGACGGCUAGGGUUCGAAGAGGAGAGAAGAGAGAGAGAGAGAGAGAGAGAGAGAGAGAGAGAGAGAGAGAGUAGUAGAGCUGGUCGUCCGAGUCCAAGAGAAAAAAGCGGGAUCCCCAGGAACAGGAGCGAGGGUCAGUCGGCGUACCUCAGCUCUCAUUCUUUCCGAUAUUGAUUUCGGGCUCCACUCGCAGUGGGAAGGGAGAGAUUGAGAGCGAGAGAGGGAGCGAUGGGCAAUUUGAUGAGUUCUUUCUUCAACAAGGAGCCUCCACCGCCCAUGGUGCUGGUUCCCCCCAUCUUCGACUUCCCUCCCCUCUCGGCGCGCAC
Molecule: long non-coding RNA, 5449 nt
Filed under: Phoenix dactylifera (date palm)
Lineage: Eukaryota; Viridiplantae; Streptophyta; Magnoliopsida; Arecales; Arecaceae
Description: long non-coding RNA (PDAC_LNC004919)
Source: RNAcentral